UGGUGAUUACUGUUGUGUUGUGAACUGCCAUAACAGCAAUGUGAACACGAAGGGGCUGCAGCCUCCAGUGGAAUUCUACCGAUUCCCCACUAAAUGGUACGAGAAAGGCAGACGACAGAUGUGGAUUACCGCAGUGCGCCGAACAAAUGCCGAUGGAAGUCCGUGGUCGCCAACAGAGAGUACAAGGAUUUGCAGCAGACAUUUUGUGGGCAACUGCAAAAGUAACUGCAGCCAACACCCGUCGUAUGUGCCGACCAUUUUUCCGGCGGCGUACAAGAAACGGACACCUGACCCAGAAGUGGCGCAGAGGUGGAAACGGCGGUCUGUAAGGGCAGCCAGAUCAGUGCAAAAUGCUGUGUAGCAGGCUGUGCCUCAAAGUACUCCUCAAGUUAGCCCACCAAUGCAAGAUCAAGAUUCCUCUGCUUGCCUGGACGUCUAUGACACACUUGCAAGUGAUGCGGAAUCACCAGUGAUGCCUCUCACACCUAUCAGUGAUGACCCUCAGCGUUCAGCGGGACCCUAUGAAACACAACAGGCUCAACCAGUUACACAGGCCGAUGCUGCAUGCCAAACAGAACUAGAAUCUCGAGGAAACCUGGUUAUCCUCCUGUCAGCGACAAAUGGGUCUGAGGUAUCAACUCAAGUUUCUCAC
RNAcentral lists this long non-coding RNA (652 nucleotides) under Dermacentor andersoni. RNAcentral's name for it is "uncharacterized LOC126538445". Lineage: Eukaryota; Metazoa; Arthropoda; Arachnida; Ixodida; Ixodidae. The record is from RNAcentral.